UGGGGAAUCUUGGACAAUGGGCGAAAGCCUGAUCCAGCCAUGCCGCGUGGAUGAUGAAGGCCCUAGGGUUGUAAAAUCCUUUCGCUGGGGACGAUAAUGACGGUACCCAAAGAAGAAGCUCCGGCUAACUUCGUGCCAGCAGCCGCGGUAAUACGAAGGGGGCUAGCGUUGUUCGGAUUUACUGGGCGUAAAGCGCGUGUAGGCGGGCUGAUAAGUUGGGGGUGAAAUCCCGAGGCUCAACCUCGGAACUGCCUCCAAAACUGUCAGCCUGGAGCAAAGAAGAGGCGAGUGGAAUUGCGAGUGUAGAGGUGAAAUUCGUAGAUAUUCGCAGGAACACCAGUGGCGAAGGCGACUCGCUGGUCUUUUGCUGACGCUGAGACGCGAAAGCGUGGGGAGCAAACAGGAUUAGAUACCCUGGUAGUCCACGCUGUAAACGAUGAGAGCUAGUUGUCGGCACGCAUGCGUGUCGGUGACGCAGCUAACG
RNAcentral lists this ribosomal RNA (484 nucleotides) under uncultured Pseudomonadota bacterium. RNAcentral describes it as "bacterial SSU rRNA". It matches the Rfam family "Bacterial small subunit ribosomal RNA", at positions 355 to 857 of the family's 1533-position model. Lineage: Bacteria; Pseudomonadati; Pseudomonadota. The record is from RNAcentral.